Long non-coding RNA from Archocentrus centrarchus (flier cichlid), 235 nucleotides. RefSeq lists it as uncharacterized. The record is from RefSeq and is a predicted model, not a curated record. The transcript has 3 exons. NCBI's taxonomy places the organism in Eukaryota, Metazoa, Chordata, Actinopteri, Cichliformes, Cichlidae.
CUCAGUGUUUCAUGGACUUCCUUUUUGUGUUUGUGUUUGUUUAUGUUUUACACUGAAACUCAUGACUAUCCUGUGAUCUUCAGUCACAGAGGAAACCAAAUGUAGACCUAAGAAAAAAAGGCCAAAAACGAAGUGCUCGUACCACAGCAGACUACAGACUUUCCCAAUCCGGAAUAUAAAAGAAGAAAGAGUGAGGAAGGGCAAAGCUGAAGUUUUAGUUGACUGGGAACCCUGU